Molecule: ribosomal RNA, 497 nt
Filed under: uncultured bacterium
Lineage: Bacteria
Description: partial 16S ribosomal RNA
Rfam family: Bacterial small subunit ribosomal RNA
Source: RNAcentral
GACGAACGCUGGCGGCGUGCCUAAUACAUGCAAGUAGAACGCUGAAGAGAGGAGCUUGCUCUUCUUGGAUGAGUUGCGAACGGGUGAGUAACGCGUAGGUAACCUGCCUUGUAGCGGGGGAUAACUAUUGGAAACGAUAGCUAAUACCGCAUAACAAUGGAUGACACAUGUCAUUUAUUUGAAAGGGGCAAUUGCUCCACUACAAGAUGGACCUGCGUUGUAUUAGCUAGUAGGUGAGGUAAUGGCUCACCUAGGCGACGAUACAUAGCCGACCUGAGAGGGUGAUCGGCCACCCUGGGACUGGGACACGGCCCAGACUCCUACGGGAGGCAGCAGUAGGGAAUCUUCGGCAAUGGGGGCAACCCUGACCGAGCAACGCCGCGUGAGUGAAGAAGGUUUUCGGAUCGUAAAGCUCUGUUGUAAGUCAAGAACGGGUGUGAGAGUGGAAAGUUCACACUGUGACGGUAGCUUACCAGAAAGGGACGGCUAACUACGUG